Molecule: ribosomal RNA, 251 nt
Filed under: uncultured prokaryote
Description: partial 16S rRNA
Rfam family: Bacterial small subunit ribosomal RNA
Source: RNAcentral
ACGGAGGGUGCAAGCGUUAUUCGGAAUUACUGGGCAUAAAGCGCGUGUAGGCGGGGUUGUAAGUCUGAUGUGAAAUCCCUGGGCUUAACCUUGGAACUGCAUUGGAAACUGCAUUUCUUGAGUACUGGAGAGGUAGGGGGAAUUUCCGGUGUAGAGGUGAAAUUCGUAGAGAUCAGGAGGAAUACCGAUGGCGAAGGCGGCCUACUGGAUGGUUACUGACGCUGAGACGCGAAAGCGUGGGGAGCAAACAG